This is a long non-coding RNA of Dreissena polymorpha, 422 nucleotides long. RefSeq lists it as uncharacterized. The record is from RefSeq and is a predicted model, not a curated record. The transcript has 3 exons. NCBI's taxonomy places the organism in Eukaryota, Metazoa, Mollusca, Bivalvia, Myida, Dreissenidae.
GUAUGUAAAUAAGGCGAAGAAAUCAUUGAUUUAAACAAGUAUAAUUAUAAAAUUGUAUUUAUUUUCACAUAGCAAAUAAGUAGCAUUUAACCCAAAAACUUUAGAGUAGUUGCCCUUUGUUUACUUAGCAUUUGACAACUCGGAUUUUGCAAAAUGGUUGAAGAAUAAGUAAUUGUUGUAUCUUUUCUUAAUAAAAGCAUUCGAUGAUUACCGAUUUUGGCAUAUUGCAUAUUGCCAAGGGAGAUGUUUACUGAGGAUUCCAUGCCAUUAAUGUGCAGGCUGUUGCUGACGCCAGCAUGAGCAAUAUCUGAGCACCAAUGAUGAGGGUCAUUUUCUGGGAGAUAGUGGGUAUCCGUUAAGGACUAACCUGAUGACCCCUUAACCUCAUCCCUCCCAUGCUGUGGAACAGGCCUACAAUGACC